GCCCUUAUGGGUUGGGCUACACACGUGCUACAAUGAAAAUGACAAAAAGUAACAAUAAUAAAAAUUUUUAGUUAAUCUUAAAAAGUUUUCUUAGUUCGAAUUGUAAGCUGCAACUCGCUUACAUGAAGGUGGAAUCACAAGUAAUCGCAAAUCAGAAUGUUGCGGUGAAUACGUACCUUGGCUUUGUACACACCGCCCGUCACAUGCAGAGAGUUAGUUUUACUUGAAGUUUUUUUGAUA
This 240-nucleotide ribosomal RNA is filed under the name Thalassiosira minuscula. Its description in RNAcentral is "partial Bacterial small subunit ribosomal RNA". It matches the Rfam family "Bacterial small subunit ribosomal RNA", at positions 1198 to 1437 of the family's 1533-position model. The record is from RNAcentral. Lineage: Eukaryota; Bacillariophyta; Thalassiosirophyceae; Thalassiosirales; Thalassiosiraceae.